Molecule: ribosomal RNA, 492 nt
Filed under: uncultured bacterium
Lineage: Bacteria
Description: partial 16S ribosomal RNA
Rfam family: Bacterial small subunit ribosomal RNA
Source: RNAcentral
GAUGAACGCUAGCUACAGGCUUAACACAUGCAAGUCGAGUGGAAACGACAUCGAAAGCUUGCUUUUGAUGGGCGUCGACCGGCGCACGGGUGAGUAACGCGUAUCCAACCUGCCCAUCACUUGGGAAUAACCUUGCGAAAGUAAGACUAAUACCCAAUGAUAUCCCACGAAGGCAUCGGAAUGGGAUUAAAGAUUUAUCGGUGAUGGAUGGGGAUGCGUCUGAUUAGCUUGUUGGCGGGGUAACGGCCCACCAAGGCAACGAUCAGUAGGGGUUCUGAGAGGAAGGUCCCCCACAUUGGAACUGAGACACGGUCCAAACUCCUACGGGAGGCAGCAGUGAGGAAUAUUGGUCAAUGGGCGAGAGCCUGAACCAGCCAAGUAGCGUGCAGGAAGACGGCCCUAUGGGUUGUAAACUGCUUUUAUAAGGGAAUAAAGUGGGUCACGUGUGACUUUUUGCAUGUACCUUAUGAAUAAGGACCGGCUAAUUCCGUG